RNAcentral lists this unclassified non-coding RNA (278 nucleotides) under Hevea brasiliensis (rubber tree). The record is from RNAcentral. Lineage: Eukaryota; Viridiplantae; Streptophyta; Magnoliopsida; Malpighiales; Euphorbiaceae.
UGACGAUCAUGAUAAUAUGAAGGACGGUGAGAGGGUGAUGCUUUGCCUAAAGCGCGCAUUAAGAAUAGCAAAUGCUGCUCAGCAAAUGUCAAAUGCAACAAGGGGUAGCACUGGGCCAGUCUCUCUUUUCAUUGAGAUACUGAACAAAUACUUGUAUUUUUUUGAGAAGGGCAACCCGCAGAUCACUGUUGCUACCAUCCAGGGGCUAAUUGAAUUGAUCACAACCGAAAUGCAAAGCGACAGUACUACUCCGGAUUCAUCGGCAGAUGCAUUCUUUG